Molecule: long non-coding RNA, 2255 nt
Organism: Monodelphis domestica (gray short-tailed opossum)
Lineage: Eukaryota; Metazoa; Chordata; Mammalia; Didelphimorphia; Didelphidae
Source: Ensembl
AUGCCAUACACUUUUAGAGCUCCACACGCUAAACGUCGCAAGAUCAAGAUCUCCACAUCCAUAAAGUCUGGCGGCACUAAGGACCAGGUCACAGAAGAACCAAAAAAUGCCAGUCACAAGGCUACAACUGGGCCAAAUCCCAGUGCCUCGGGGGCAGAGAAGGCAGCACCCCAAGUACACAGCAAAAAAACCAACAAGGGCACCAUUAAAAGAGCACGCGGUCCUGAUCCUUGCUCCAAAGACACUUCUAGUAGUAAGAAUAAGCAAUUAGUUCAGAUUCCAGUAGGUAGUCGCCAAAUUUGGGAGGAAUUAUGUCACCAGGGUAAAGAUCAUUUAGGCUCAAACAAGCAAGCCAGAUUCGAAGUUAUUUGCCCACAUCAUACUAGAAUUCAUUUCAUCCCUGAUGACCAGACCACAUAUAUACUCAAAAGACACCUAAAGGUACCAUCAUCAGCCCCUGAAAAUGAAGCACAAAAACAAUGGGAAAAUUUUUCUCAUGAUUAUAAGCACCAAAUCAUUCCAGUGUACCAUCAACAGCAGGCACAGGCAGCUCUGGACUUUGUCUCUAGGACCUUAGUACCACUCUACCAAAGAGCUAUAAAAUGUGAGGAAUCCAUAAACAAGGCUAUAAGAAGACAAUUAAAUAAAAACAACUGGGAGAACUUUUUCCAGUGCCAUGAUCACCAUCUUGCAAUUCCGCUGUGUCGUCAAAAUCAGGCACGAGCCGCCUUGGACCUUUUCUCUGAGGUUUCACUUCCACGAAACCACAUACACCUAAAAUCUGCAGGACCCCGCUUUGUGAGAAAGUCUGCUAAAAAGUUAAACAAGAGAAGCUGGACAAAAUGUCCUUGUGACUACGAUCACCAUGUCACAAUUCCACUGUGUCACCUGCACCAGGUUCAGGACCUCAUCCCAAGGAUAUUACUCCCACCAGACCACAUACACACAAAAUAUGAGGCGCCCUUGAACAUGAUCUUUGAGUGUCAAAGAAAAUGUCAUCCCUUUACCAGGCCUCUGCCUGGUCCUCUCUAUUCAUCCAGGCCUCUGCUGAUAAAGGCUCUACCCAUCCCUGAUUGUUGGACCCCAGAGACUCUACCGAUUUCUGAGCGUCACUCAAAGACUCCAUUUCAUCUCAGUAUCCAAGACAUACCAGCACCUCAAAAACUUACUUUAAAUUUAACCAAGGUUCCAAAAUGCCAUCACUAUCAGGCUAAGUCUUCACGAGUCUCUGACUACCAACCUGGGUACCAAUACAAGAUCCAGCCUGAGCAGAGUAGAGGCAGAGCCAGGUGUUUAUAUGACAUCAAACCUUACCACAGUCAGGGGCUAACUUACCCUACAAAAUCUGUUGAUGACAUCAGUAGGUCCAUCCCCAAGAAAAAAGUAGAGAGUGACCUCUAUAGCCAGGUUCACUUGAGAGAGAUGAGGCAAUGCCCCCGCCCUGCCCAUUGGCCUAAUCGAUACUUGUCUCCUCAUUAUAACACCUGUUCAGUGUGUACCUCAUUGAGCUCACAUGCUUGUCCUCAUGUUGAUAGAAUGAAAUCUCCUCCAGUAAAACUGGUCACUGUACCAACGUCCUUGCCUGGGCCACAGAAGAUGCAUGUCACAUAUUUCCACAAAGUGCCCCAGUCAAAGGCAAACCCUAGUUCCAAACUCCUCCCAGGUCCUCUUUCUUGUAAAUCCAGACCCUUACGCCUUUCACCAGUUUUUCCCUCAUGCUCUCACUCAGAUCCUGCCUCCCGGCCUCCUGUGAAACGCAAGGUUACUUGGCUUGAUCUCAUCCAUGGCAAAUCUGACCAGCCAAAGGAGAAGAAGACCUAUCCAAGUCAAAAGCCAUUUUGGAAAGAGAGACCUUUCUCAAACAAGAACGCCCAAGAAGAGACAUCAAGGAGGCAAAAGAUAUGUUCCAUGUCUUUGUUAGAUAAAUUUGAAAACAUCAACUGUCAACUAACUGCCACCCGUGAACAGAAUCCCUGGAAUCACAGUAAUCUCCAGACCCCUGAUCUUACAGUCACUAUUCUGAGCAAGAACAGGGAAGAUGUGGAGAAGGGCCGGCUAUUUUCACAACCCCAGUUUUCAACUGCCAACCAGCCACCACUUCUCAGUCAGGCAAGGCAGCACAGUGAAGAAAGCAGCAGGAUAUUAUGAGGGUAAUAAGCUUCAAUUACAUGAGAAAUUGAAAUACAUGGAAUAUGUUAUUGAAAAAUUACCUCAGAUGAAUGAAGACCUGAUGGGAUAGUUUUCAUAAUAAUCAG